GGACUACCAGGGUUUCUAAUCCUGUUCGCUCCCCACGCUUUCGCUCCUCAGCGUCAGUACAGGCCCAGAGAACCGCCUUCGCCACCGGUGUUCCUCCCGAUAUCUGCGCAUUUCACCGCUACACCGGGAAUUCCGUUCUCCCCUACCUGCCUCUAGUCUGCCCGUAUCCACCGCAGACCCGGAGUUAAGCCCCGGGCUUUCACGGCAGACGCGACAAACCGCCUACGAGCUCUUUACGCCCAAUAAUUCCGGACAACGCUUGCGCCCUACGUAUUACCGCGGCUGCUGGCAC
This 292-nucleotide ribosomal RNA is filed under the name uncultured bacterium. Its description in RNAcentral is "partial 16S ribosomal RNA". The record is from RNAcentral.